GAUGGAGCCAGGAGUCUCAUGUACCAGGCCUGGAGCUCUUUCUGCUGGGAGUCAAGAAGCAAUACUAGAUUGAAUCGAAGGGCAUGGGCCAUAGGAUUGAAGGAAUCUGCUAGAGCUUUUUGUGCUUGGUUGGAAGGCAAGAGGGGGAUGACUUGAACAUGCAAACAACUCAAGGGGAGAUCGCGAGGUGAAUACCCACCCUUCCCCAUGCCCCUGGCCUCUCCCUGACUCCCACCCCAGGGCAAAGGAACAAGGAGGACUUCCUGCUAAUUUUCAACUGCAUUUUGCUCUCUGUUAUGUAGUAUUUCAGUGCCAGGAUCCACUCAGGAGAGUUGGGGCGAGGCUGGCUGAGGUUCUCAAGGAGCUGAGUUUUGAGUUCAGGUGCCCGCAUGGGAGUGGACUGAUGCCUCCUGACCUUUCAGACCUUUGAGACCUCUGGGAGGUCUUAGAAAUCACCUCAAGCCUCCAGUCCAGGAUACGACUGCCUAGGGGAAUCCCAGGGAAAGGUGGCAGAAAUAGCAUGGACGGCAAGGUGAUGGAUACUACAGUGAGUUCACUACAAGAUCUUCGAGAUCCCAAACCACCAGCUCUGCCAAGGCAUCAUGCCACCCUUCUGGAGAGACAGCAAGAAGCAAGCUGGGAAGAGGUCCACUUCUUGGCCUGAGAGAGGCUGGACCACCUUCUCAGGUAUCCUGGGGAACUCCUGAAGGACAGUGAGGAAGGUGCUGUUGGGUCCCAGGACAGAAGUACAGCAGUGAGAGCCCAGAGACACCUUGAGUGGCAUCACACCCAAUGUGCCUCCAGACCCAAAGUCCUCUGAGUGACAGUUCUGAAUUGGACUGUUUUUCCGUUGUCAUUGCCUGCGUAACACAAUUCUGGAUGACUUUGACUGGUUGGCUUUUUAUUACUUCUUUUUUUUUUUUCUCCCCUGUCUUUUUCUUUUCUUGACCCAGGGAGUUGUAAAAAGGAAUUGCUUUAAAAGGUAUAAUUCUGUGCUGAAAUUAGCCUUGUUUAUGAACCAAUUCUGUUCCUAGGGAGUUUCUGAAUUGCAGUCCCAGGUUAACUAGUAAAUGGGGCUAUGUAGUUUGAUUUGUAUGGCACUGAUCCUUAGAUUAAAAAUACAUUUUCUUUCUGUUUUUUUUUUUUUUUUUUUUUAAGUUUGGAUUCGGGUAAUGACCCGAGUCCUAUUUGCUUAGCUACUGAAGAAAUCUCAAUGUGGUACCACUUGGAGUUGAAAUAUAAUCAAACAUACAUUAUACCUGGGGCUCUUGCACACUAUUUGAUAGAAAUGUUACACUACAAAGGAACAUACACUUCAUAGGUUGAAAUUUAAUUCCUCUCUGAUCCUGCAGCUAGAAUGGCAAAGAAAUUAUAAGUAUAAAAAGUAACUUCAAAUAUCCUGAACGUUAGCUAGUCAAUUUUGGGUGGUUUUGAAAUGCCAUUUUCUAAGACAACACCGGAACUGGAGAUUGACUGACCUCAUCACCCGUGUUGCAGGGUCUCUGUGGAUCUACCUGCAUUGGAGGAGUUAAAGAACAAUGCAUGCUUCUGUGGAUGGGUGGAUGGAAAUUGUGGUAUUUCUGACUUUGUCUUGUAACUGUGCCUACCUCGAAAUAAAGAAACUUCAGUUGA
Marmota monax (woodchuck) is the source of this 1632-nucleotide long non-coding RNA. RefSeq lists it as uncharacterized. The transcript is spliced from 3 exons. NCBI's taxonomy places the organism in Eukaryota, Metazoa, Chordata, Mammalia, Rodentia, Sciuridae. The record is from RefSeq and is a predicted model, not a curated record.